RNAcentral lists this ribosomal RNA (433 nucleotides) under uncultured bacterium. RNAcentral describes it as "partial 16S ribosomal RNA". It matches the Rfam family "Bacterial small subunit ribosomal RNA", at positions 29 to 507 of the family's 1533-position model. The record is from RNAcentral.
AACGAACGCUGGCGGCAUGCCUAACACAUGCAAGUCGAACGAGACCUUCGGGUCUAGUGGCGCAUGGGUGCGUAACGCGUGGGAACCUGCCCUUAGGUUCGGAAUAACUCCCCGAAAGGGGUGCUAAUACCGGAUAAUGUCUUCGGACCAAAGAUUUAUCGCCUUUGGAUGGGCCCGCGUUGGAUUCGCAAGAUGGUAGGGUAAAAGGCUACCAAGGCGACGAGCCAUAGCUGGUCUGAGAGGCUGAUCCGCCACACUGGGACUGAGACACGGCCCAGACUCCUACGGGAGGCAGCAGUGGGGAAUAUUGGACAAUGGGCGAAAGCCUGAUCCAGCAAUGCCGGGUGAGUGAUGAAGGCCUUAGGGUUGGAAAGCUCUUUUACCCGGGAUGAUAAUGACAGUACCGGGAGAAUAAGCUCCGGCUAACUCCGUG